AUGGCUGUUUCAUCUCUGCAGGUUUCGGUUCAUGGCUUGUUGCCGGAUCCGGGGCACAUGGAGGUUUGGUGGUAUAGGAUGGGACCGGAGGAAACUUUGGUCGGCUUGUUCGGCCUGGCAUCAGCGACGUCACUCGGCACCGUUACCCUCCGUGGAGGCGAAGCCGAGCGUCCUGCGCGUCGUAUCCUCCGUGGAGGAGCCGCGGACACCUGCCUUGUUGGUGUGGCUGGGGCGCGUGUCAAGACGGUGCUGCAGAUUGCAAUGGCGCAUCCUGAGGAGUUCCACCAGCUGCUGAUCCGCGGGACAGCGUCGCUCAUCGUGGAGGACCUGCACGAUUCUGUCCUCUCCCGGUACUCGCUUACAGUACCAACGUCCAAUUGCACAUCUUCCAUCGACUUAGACCAUACAUGGAGCUCAAGUCUGCGGGCUGGGGCACAUGGAGGAUGGAGCUCGGUCUCCGGCGGCGAGAUCUUGCCUUACCUCCCGGACACCAUCAGUGCCCUCAAGGACAUGGCGGAUGCCCUUAAAAUGUGGCAAAGUUAG
This 543-nucleotide ribosomal RNA is filed under the name Triticum aestivum (bread wheat). RNAcentral's name for it is "partial small subunit ribosomal RNA". Lineage: Eukaryota; Viridiplantae; Streptophyta; Magnoliopsida; Poales; Poaceae. The record is from RNAcentral.